Molecule: non-coding RNA, 992 nt
Filed under: Pongo abelii (Sumatran orangutan)
Lineage: Eukaryota; Metazoa; Chordata; Mammalia; Primates; Hominidae
Source: RNAcentral
GGGAGCUUGGAUGUGGAAGCUCUUUGGAAACCAAGAAACACUCUGCAAAUGAAAAGGGAAGCAGAAGUUCUCCUUAGCUGAUUUUUCUUCUUGCCUUAUACUGGGUUCUUUAACACCAGAACAAAAAUAAAUAAAUAAAAGAAUCUUCCAGAAAUUCAUGAAGAGACUUCAGGUCAGGAAAGCCUGAACUUUCUCAUCUAACACCUGUUCAAGUCGGAGGAUGCUGAUUAAUUCAUGAUGGAAAGGAGACGUCUGUGGAUUCUAUAACUCAAAGACCCAGGCUGAUGGCUGGUGGAAUAGCUACCAUCUCAAACAUGGCGUGAUGCUGCAUCAGAGGGAAAAAUAAGCUCUUGCACUGGCAAUGAAAUGUCUACCCUGUAGUGACUUGUGCUUACUUCCACUCACAAAUGAUUGCCCAGAGCUACUUACCUGGCUCCAAUCUACCACUGGGUGUGUACGUGCAAUCUACUGUGUACCUAGAAGAUGAGAGGAACAAAUUAUUAAUGAUGACCACACCCCAAGACUAACAAUAAUUGCAGAAGAAUCAAUGACUUAAACAAAAAUAUGGCCAUUGAAGGAAUAGAAAAUAUAGUGAGUUUAGUGUAAAUUUAGAAGUGAUUUAUAAGUAGCAUACAAAAUCCAGAAACUAUAAGAAAACAGAUUGACAAAUAUAAACAUAUAAAGCUUUAAAAAAGUUUAAUAUAACAAAAAUGGCAUAAAAAGAGUCAAAAGUUUUUAAAAAAUAUGUUAAUGCAGUAGAUUAGGUGCUAAUUUUCUUAAUAUACUAAUAACUCAAUAAGAGAAAUUUUGUAUCUAGAAGAAAAUGAACAUGGAAAUAGGCAAUUCACAGAUAAUGGCAUUCAUCUGGCCAAUAAAAAAUUGUGUGACAUUCAGAAUAAAAUAAAAAUGAAAUACUGGUUUUCAGCCAUCACUUGAGCAAAACUGCAAAGAUACAAUGAGACUCAGGCAUUCCCAUAUACUGUGGAUGGGAG